UACGGAGGGUGCAAGCGUUAUCCGGAUUCACUGGGUUUAAAGGGUGCGUAGGAGGGCAGGUAAGUCCGUGGUGAAAUCUCUGAGCCUAACUCAGAAACUGCCGUGGAUACUACCGGUCUUGAAUACCGUGGAGGUGAGCGGAAUAUGUCAUGUAGCGGUGAAAUGCUUAGAUAUGACAUAGAACACCAAUUGCGAAGGCAGCUCACUACCCGAAUAUUGACUCUGAGGCACGAAAGCGUGGGGAUCAAACAGG
RNAcentral lists this ribosomal RNA (253 nucleotides) under uncultured bacterium. RNAcentral describes it as "partial 16S ribosomal RNA". It matches the Rfam family "Bacterial small subunit ribosomal RNA", at positions 524 to 776 of the family's 1533-position model. The record is from RNAcentral.